GAUGAACGCUAGCGAUAGGCUUAACACAUGCAAGUCGAGGGGCAGCACAAGGUAGCUUGCUAUCUGGGUGGCGACCGGCGCACGGGUGCGUAACGCGUAUGCAACUUGCCCUAUACAGGAGGAUAACCCGUCGAAAGACGGACUAAUACUGCGUAUGCUCACAACUUGGCAUCAAGUGGUGAGGAAAGAAAUUCGGUAUAGGAUAGGCAUGCGUCCCAUUAGCUUGUUGGUGAGGUAACGGCCCACCAAGGCAACGAUGGGUAGGGGAACUGAGAGGUUUAUCCCCCACACUGGUACUGAGACCCGGACCAGACUCCUACGGGAGGCAGCAGUGAGGAAUAUUAGUCAAUGGGCGCGAGCCUGAACCAGCCAAGUCGCGUAAAGGAUGACUGUCUUAUGGAUUGUAAACUUCUUUUAUACGAGAAUAACAAGAGUCACGUGUGACUCCCUGCAUGUACCGUAUGAAUAAGCAUCGGCUAACUCCGUG
Molecule: ribosomal RNA, 487 nt
Filed under: uncultured bacterium
Lineage: Bacteria
Description: partial 16S ribosomal RNA
Rfam family: Bacterial small subunit ribosomal RNA
Source: RNAcentral